CGGAAAGACCCCGUGAACCUUUACUAUAGCUUGACACUGAACAUUGAGCCUUGAUGUGUAGGAUAGGUGGGAGGCUUUGAAGUGUGGACGCCAGUCUGCAUGGAGCCGACCUUGAAAUACCACCCUUUAAUGUUUGAUGUUCUAACGUUGACCCGUGAUCCGGGUUGCGGACAGUGUCUGGUGGGUAGUUUGACUGGGGCGGUCUCCUCCUAAAGAGUAACGGAGGAGCACGAA
RNAcentral lists this ribosomal RNA (234 nucleotides) under Escherichia coli. RNAcentral describes it as "partial 23S ribosomal RNA". It matches the Rfam family "Bacterial large subunit ribosomal RNA", at positions 2081 to 2314 of the family's 2925-position model. Lineage: Bacteria; Pseudomonadati; Pseudomonadota; Gammaproteobacteria; Enterobacterales; Enterobacteriaceae. The record is from RNAcentral.